RNAcentral lists this ribosomal RNA (253 nucleotides) under uncultured bacterium. Its description in RNAcentral is "partial 16S ribosomal RNA". It matches the Rfam family "Bacterial small subunit ribosomal RNA", at positions 524 to 776 of the family's 1533-position model. The record is from RNAcentral.
UACGGAGGGUGCAAGCGUUAUCCGGAUUCACUGGGUUUAAAGGGUGCGUAGGUGGGUUGGUAAGUCAGUGGUGAAAUCUCCAGGCUUAACUUGGAAACUGCCAUUGAUAUUAUCAAUCUUGAAUACCGUGGAGGUCAGCGGAAUAUGUCAUGUAGCGGUGAAAUGCUUAGAUAUGACAUAGAACACCAAUUGCGAAGGCAGCUGGCUACACGAAUAUUGACACUGAUGCACGAAAGCGUGGGGAUCAAACAGG